GACUCAGAAUGGAUGCUCAUACUGUUAGCAACAAAUUCCUGGCUGAGAAGAACCAUCUGGAGAAAUGCAAUUGCACAAGCAAGAGACUGCUGGUAGAACAAAGGGGAACAGGUCUCUAUGCAUCUGAUAGGCAUUCAGCUCAGAAAAUGACUGCUCUCAUCUCAUCUAAAAGACUUAUGCAGAAAUAGGUUUGUUACUGACCUUGUCCAGCUCCUUCUGGAUCAUCCAGCACUUAGCCACUCCUAGCAGCACCUGGAUCUGACCCAGGCGGUUUCCAAUCUCUGUCAUGAUGCUCAUGGCAGAAUCGUACCGGGGAAAGGCUGUCUGCAGUGGCAAUGAGGAAAACACAUAUUUUGCUAUGGCCUGCUUUUCACACCCUCUUCCCGUCCCCGCUGUCCUUCAUGGUAGCUGUACCUGCACAUCUCUGCGACUGAGAUGAAUAUCAGCAAAGCACAGCAGACACAGUGCCUGCAGAGGCCGGUCACCGUGCUGAAGGGCAAUCUUCAUGGACUCCUGAAAGAAAUUGCCUUUGGUCAGUAAGGGAGCUCCUGGCUCAGAACAAAUGGAGCCGGGCUGUACGCUCCAGCCUCUGAAGGGUCAGCUCCAGAGAAAUGGCACAGCAUUUUUAGUUAGUUUAGAAAUACAGUCUUGUUCGUGUUCCUAACUAGAGGACAUUCAUAGGCUCAAAUUUUGAGGAACACAGUACUACUAAAACCAGAGCUCUAAGACUGGGAGACAGUGGGAAUACCUAGAGUCAAGUGUGAAAGCCACGGCUUCCCUCUUCCUCCCAGCCCUGUCCUGGAGGCAAGAUCUCAUUGCAGAGACCUCCACCAGCUCUGUGUCUGCUUGCACCCUGUACCUCACAGCAGUCCAUGGCGUCUGCCAAGCGCCCCAGUUUCCGGUAGGCUACUGCCAUGUGAUACUGGCUCAUUGCACGGUACUUCAAGCUCCAUCCUGCUCCAUAGUCAUUCACCAGCUCUGCUGCUUUACAUGGGAAGAACAAAGCUUUCUCAUAGUCCUGUAAGGCAGACAGACAGUAGUGACAGCAAAAGACAAAAAAAAAAAAAGAAAGAAAAAAAGCAACUAUUUUUGAUUUACUAAUAGCGCGACAGCUAGCAGGUUUUUGUACGCCUUUCUUCCCCUGCCUGUCCUCUUCCAUGUGCCCUGCUUUCUCUAUUGAUGUGAAUAUCAAACUGUGGAAGGUGGAACUGCCAUAUGCUGAAUUCAUAUUGCUCUCUAUUUUCAGGACACAUGAGAAAUGACACAGCGUAUGAAUUUUAUAUAGUAUGCCAACAGCCGUAUGCUGCCAGAAUCAUUUGUCCUCUUCCGUAACUGAAGCCUGAAAACUGUCUCUAGUUUUACAUUAUCUCUGCUUUCAGUACAUACAUGGAGCCCUCAUGUUCUCCAUAUGGCAAGUCAGGAUCUCUCAGAGGCUGGUUAUUCGGCACUGCAGGAAGCAGGAGCAAAAUAAUAAUGGCCUUACCAAAUCCACAAUAACUAGUUGAAACACACAUGCAAAAACAAACAAACAAACAACAACAACAAAAAAAACUAAGCACCUUUCUGCAUUAAAAAAAUUUAGAAAUCAAUCUUGUUUUAAGAUAAGUACAUAAAAGUAUUAAAGAUAUCUAAACCAUUCUCAAGUGAGAUACUUCAGGUAGCGAGUCUUCCAGUAGUGACAAAAAUCAAGACUUUUCAAGAAGAGAUAUGAUUUAUUACAUUUAUAAUGGAAGUUAGAACUGGCAAACCACCUCACCCUCAAUUCCUGCCUGGAAUAAUUAUUUGCCUGCAACAGCAGCUGAACUAGAAUCCUUUGAGUUCUGCCUGCUUGCAGACACUGCCUCCUCUGAUACGAUCUUGGAAGCUAAGAUUGAUCUUUUCAAUUCACAGCUGCUUCUGCUGCACUACAUAAGCAUUCCACCAAUCCUUACUGCAAAGUGGAGUAUUAUCUGAUGAUUUUACAGUAUAGAGAUUUAAACUUGAAACGUUCUGUCAACACUUCACUUCCUACAGCAGAUGUAAGUUGAAAUUCACAGUGCUUUCCAUAAUGAGACAAUUGCCCUCCCAUCCUCCCCUCCCUUGGAUUACUGCACCUUUAUCUGGGCAUAGAAGUUCCCAAGGCUACAGCAGACUCGACACUCCAGCAUCUUGUCGUCAUUGUUGUGUGCAUAGCGUAAAGCUUUUUCAAAGCACUCCAAAGCCUUCUGGAAAAUGCUGAGGCCCAGGAAGGCAUUGCCCAUGCUGAGGCUCACCUGGCCGUUCAGCUGCAGGCUCACAGUGGUACCCUGCAUGUUCAAGCAUGUCUUACAGUAAGAUAUUGUUUUCUGGAAUUCACAGAGUUUCUCAUUGCUGCGAGCCAGGUUUAGAUAGCCCUCUGUAAGGUAAUUAGGGUCUUCCAGCUCCCGUGCUGUGUCAAUCUGCACCACUGCGAACUUCAAGUAGAAAAGACCAUGUUUAUAAAAGGCAUGUAAUUUACUUAAACACAGCUCAAACACUCACAGAGUAGCAUCCUGCAAUGGAGAAGUGGCACAUCCCUGAGCAGGACAGCAUGGACCGUGUGGCAUUGUAUACAAUGAACAAUUAAUUAUCUGGAGGCUUACACAUAAGCAGUCUAUGCAUGUGAGCAGUCUGAAGAAACCUCUUUCUCAGCCUCUCGGACAUGGAAAUUGAGCUGGCAGUUAGUGGAAAAAAAUGUUAAAUGACCCUAAAGAGAAGCAGAUGAGGCAGAAAACCUCUGGCAGCUCUGCUUUCUUUUGCUCACAUAAUUAAUUCUGCUCUCUCUGGAAGGCUUAAGAUAUUGAAGUACUCAAAGAAAUGAAGUAAACUAUUUCAUCAAUUUUAUACUAACCAAUUAUAGUUUAGCAUUGUUUUUUUUUCUUCUGCGAUUCUCUGCAUAUGAUUGUAGUAAAUUUUAAGUCUUUUUUCUUUUAGACCUCGAGCUCUUCUGAGCAGGGACUCUCUUCUGUGCUCUCUGAUGAACCAAGCACACUGCUGGCUUGAAUUAAUACUCAUAGCAAAGGGGUAACAAAUUAUGGUUUGAGCAUCUUGGAUCCACUCGUUUGCCUGCUUCUUGCUUCCAUGAAGACUUUAGUAUUUUCUUCAGGUAGCCACACCUUACCUUUUUGCAUUCUCUCUUCCCUAAUCAGUUUGUUGUUUCUGCCACCACCUAGUCCCAGCGUUUCUCAGAACUGCUUGUUUGCCUUCAGACGUUUUCCAUGUGUGUUAAUGCCCCUUUUUUCUUCAUGCUAAUUAUCUGCUUCGUAGGUAAGGCUUUGACGUGUGCAUGGGUUUAACUCAUAGGAUCACCCCACCACUUCUAAACAGCUACCAGGAAUUUUUCAAGAGAUGUGGGCACCCCCUUCACUUUUUGUGCUACAUGCUGAACAAUUACUAGUCUAGUAAGAGGCAGCCAAAAACAUCAGAAUAUCAAGGCCCUUUAAUAAGACCCUAUUUCAGGCUGGGAUAGCUACUCAAGACUAUUAAAACACUUUCCUGUCUUCCAGAUUCCUGAGUCACUCUCCCAAACACUGUCUGCUACUAUAUGUAUGCAUCCCAUGACUUCUCAGACCCAUUCAUCAGCUUCUUUUUAUUCACUUCAUCAAAAGUGUUUAUCCUCAUGCUUUUUUGUAUGUAGCUUCAGCUUCUUUUUGCCACUCUUUGAUCAAGCCCUAUAUCCUUUCUCCAAUGCUGUCCUCCCAGCUCGGAGCCCCUCUCUGACCUCAGCUGUCAGAUUCCUCCUUGAACAUCUUUCAACAUCCACCCCCCACUCCCAAACGAGAAUCUCUGUUCCCCUCUUAAUCAGUCCCCGUGCAAACAACUGUAAUAGAAACAAUGUCAGAUCUGUGACAGAUACCAAGCAGUUGAACAAGAUAACAGACACCUCUUCACAAGACUAUCGCUUAUUCUAUAGAAUCUACUUGAAGAUCUCUAUUUACUCUGACAUACACACUAACAACAGUUUUUGCUGGAGUAAAGGUUCUGUUUUCAUACCUUUCUCUGAAGCUUCAUCACAUGGUGUGCCUGUAUGAGGAAUAAAUCAAGAAAGGUCCCCACAAUUACCGAGAGAACCUCAUUAACCUAGGAAUCCUGAAGGAUGAGACCCAAUAAGAAGUUGUACUCUGUGUAUCUUGUAAGCUGAAGCUAUCAACACAGUAAUUAAGGCAGCUCACAACAUGCUCCCAAUAGCCAGUACAUCUUACUCUAUGCAAUAUAAAAGCCCUGAUUUUACAUUCUAAUCUCCAGCCACACUCUGUAGUGGGUGCAACACAAUGGCAUGCAUUCAUCUCCAGUUUGCCUUACCUUCAGCAUAUCUUUGUAUCUGCCCAUCUCUGCAUGAGCAGUGAUGAGGCAACCCAAAACGCGAAACCUGCCAGCAGGAUCCGCAGACUUCUCCAAAACCCUCAUCCAGACUUGCAGAGCCUUUUCAGUUUGAUUAGAUUGGUAAAGAUGGAGUCCUUUUUCUAUCUGUUGCUUUGUCUGGUCCUGACCCAUCUCCCAUGCAUUAAAAAGCCUCAUAUACUAAACUCUAAAUGCAGCAAAAACGAAGAGCCUGAGAGAACACAACAUAAAAUGCCCUAAUUACAGAAGGGCAGGUUGUGUGCUCAGAAAGCUUGGAGCUAUAAAAGCCCAGCCAUGCCAGGCAGCUGGAGCUGUGGAAGGCAAUGGCAAGAAGUGGCUGUUUGGUGAUGAAGGUAGAAUCCCAAAUCCACUAAACGAAUGUCUUGCUCACUAAGACUACAUCAGUGCACUUGCCUGUCCAAUCCCAUAAACAAAGACGAAAAGCACAACAGGGGGAGAAAGAGAAAAAUCUCAAGUGACUGGAGUGAAACUCAAUCUGAGCAGCCACUGCUAGGCAUCUCCAUUGGUUGCAGCUGUUCCUGCCAGUCUGGUUCACGUGGCUCCCAGGAAUGCUGGUCAGGCUUCCAGCCUCCAAGGUCAGAGUGAGCCAACUGCCCACCCCAGCCUGCCAGUAUGCAGCUUAUAAAUACCUCACAGAGAGACAGACAAUCAGCUGCAGACACAGGGAUGUUAUGUUUGCCUCUUUUCUUACUUGCCAUUUUCUUUUGCAAAAGCACUGUGGUGAUGGGGUAGCCUGGGAGGUAGUACGCUCAGCUAGCAUUUUAUCUCUAGGAAAAAUAUAUACUCUAAGAAGUAGGUUAUGUUUUAAAAAAGGAAUCCAAAAAUUCCAGUACGUACACUGUACAUGCAACAACAUGCCUGACAGCAGAGCGCAUCCAGAGAGGGCCACAAAAAUGAUCCAAAGGAUAGAACACUUCUACAAGGACAGGCUGAAAGAGCUGGGGCUGAUCAGCCUGAAGAGAAGGCUCCAGGGAGAGCUGGUACUCUGUCUUCAACAGGAUUUGUUAAAGGCAUUUUUGAAGUUCUACAUCCAGACUUCUCUGAACUGUAAUGAUGAAUAACAAUGAACUAAGGCAAUACAUUUCUGCACCUUCUGCUCCACGUAAGACUCUCAGCCCAAUUUGAAGAUAGCUUUUAAUUCUCCUGUAUAUCUUUAACAGAGUAAAGUUAGACUGGUUACUCUAGGAAGCAAGUUUCAUACCUCCAUUGAUCCGGUAUGCAUUUUUAAUUGACCCAGCCUUUGAACCAUCUAUAGACUUACUCUGUCCUUCAGAAGAAGAGAUACCUAACUGUGGGGGGUGUGAAGAUACAUUAGGGACAUGUAAAGUUUUUCAGAUACAGAAGUCCCUGACACAGUUUUCUGAGUCUUUUCCUGGCCAAAGAGAAGAAAUGGUAAUUCAGAGUUUCAACAACAGACCUCUAUACAGAAGCAGGCAUAUCUCCAGCUACAUCCAUGCUUCUAUAUGAAUAUGAUGUCUGAAGCAAAGGCAAUAACUGAUAGAAUGCUGAUUGGAUCAUCCUGGUCUGGGUCAUGGCUGCCUAAGGAAACACGAACCCAAAAGAGACUUCCUGACAGAAUACUCUUAGAGAAACCAGGACACACAAGAAUAAGGAAUCAGAGUCUGGAGAUUCCAUCCAUGCCUUUAUCCAAAAUUUUAAUCAGAAAACUAUUGAAAAUAUGUACUUCUUCAAUGGUAGAAAUCUUGAUACCAUCAGGCUUAUUUUCUUUUGGGAGCUUAUAAACUCUUUGGUAAUCUCAUUUAAUUUAGCAUUGUUUUUCAGAGAGGUGAUGUGCUAGGAAGUGUUUCAGCAGAGCCUCUGUAUACUCAAACUUUGGAAGUAAACUAUGGAAAAAAAACCUACAGAAGAGUGAAGGAAAGAAAAGCUAACACAGAGCGAGUUAAUGCACAAAGCCAACACUGUUAAAAUUAUCUAGUUCCCUUAGAUUUCAGGGUUUCUUUAAAAGCCUGAUUCGGAAUAUAAAAAACCCUCCUUCCUGCAGUGAUUUUUAUAUGCCUCUCCAGAGGUGGGUGAUGGGAUGGACACAGGAUGAAGACUGAUCCCUGCGGAAAGCAGUAAUAAUGGUGUGGCCAUUGAAUUUCUACUUGUACUUGUAGAAACUUAAGAGAUCCAGAGACAGCAGCCAUAAAAGAAUUAAGUCAGUCAGGACUCAAAAAAAGGGAAACAAAAACAAAACAAAACAAAAAAAAAUCACAUAAUUCUUUGCUGGAGCAGACUACUUCACUUUCAUACCUGUCUGUAACUUAAAUGUCCUGCAUUUUGCUGAUCAUACUGUACUUCCUUGCUUUUGAGUUGCGUGCUAUACUCCAAUGAAACAGUGCUUAGUCUCCUAAGAAUCCACUAAAAUAAUCUGCCAAGCUGAAAACUUAACUUAGAGUUUGGAGAACCACCAAGCUCAAACUAAUCAUCCUCAAUAAGCAGAAACAUACUGUGAUAUGGAUGAUACCACUUUGAGCCCAAUAAAUCUGUCUAAAUAAGGAGGAGUAAGUGGAUAGCAUCACCUACAUACUGACUACCAAUACUUGAGAAUUUAAUGGCAGGGUGAUCAGUAUGCGGCUCAAGACUGCUCUAGAUCACAUGAGAAACAAAUACAGCUUCUAUAUUAAACCACCAAUAGUUUCUUCUCAGGAACUACAAAUAAGCAAGCUUGAAGGUGCAUGGAAAUCACAGUAUCUCACCUGGCAUGGAAAUCACCAGUAUCUCAGCUGUGAAGCUAUAGUCAUACACAUAUUGACUUUCUAACAGUGACCAUGCUGAGCUGUUCAUCUCCUUGCCCAUUACUUUUCAUAACGCCCUGUGGCUCCUGGCCAUAUGAAGACAGCAGGCCAUGGUGGUAAAAAUCAGGAAUAUUGGAGCCUGGAGUCAAAACAAGUAGUGAGAGCUAGAGGAGAAUGUGAAAGGAAAACAAUUUAUCCUAAAACAUUCAAUAUCAAGACUUAAUCCACUGAUUUGUGUUUUCCUGUUGAUAUUGAUGAAUUUAGGAACCUAUGUAAAAUGCUGAUAAUUUUCAGAGACUAAUAUGUUGGCUCUUAUUUAUAGAUUAAUAGUCUAUUGAUUGGUGGUGGUGGACUUCCAAAGGCUAAAACAAAACAAAAUACCUUCAAAAAGAAAAAAAAAAAAAAAAGAAUGCUAUCUAUCCAGAGGGAUCUACCAUCAGUUCCAUAAGUUACAAUGGACAAAGCUGCUGUUAACCAAUUGGGUAAGAUAGGGCUUGCCAUCUUUGUUGCACAAGAAAGAAUCUUCCAUCCCAACUAAGCAAGCCACUUCUCUGAUUCAAUUGUUUCUCUCCAUCUUUCACCUCAGGCAUAUUUGAACUGAAAUAUCUCCAGCCUCCCUUCUCAACAGCUGCAAAUUAACUGCAAUGAUCCCAGCACACGAUGCAACAGGUGGCUUGGCGCCUCACUCUGCAAUGGGGCACUGCAAAGGAAGGAAUGCAGCAGUGAGUCCUGGUGCUUGCAAGUGCUCUCGGAUUUACAGUUAUGUAGGAAGUAAUGGGCUGAAACCAAGUAUGCCAUUUAAUAGAGGAAAAGAACAUGGAAGAGGAAUAUGGCUUCCCCUGAAUGUGCUUGCACUCUGAGGUGGAAGCCAGCAGAAGGAAAGAUCCUACUAACUGUAGAAUGUUCACAAACAUAGCAGAGUCAUGGUCAUUGUGGUACUUUCCCCUCUGAGAGGGGCAAUACUAACAUCAAACUAGUGUCAAGUUUCUGAAUGAAUUAUAUUCUGCCUAUGGCAAAUAUUAACCUUUAGAAAACACAUUUCAAGUAAUUAUUGUACUUCAGCUCUAAAAGCAAAGCAGGCUUUGCUUAUCACAAAUUUUUGCAUAUCAUAAAACCUGAGCUACUAACGCCUGAGGUGUUAUAAAACUCUAAGAGGUUUUAAUGGAAAUCCUAACUUGUUUGGACUUCCCGGAGUAGUAUUUCCAGGGGCAGGAGCACGAGGGGCUGCAGACACCUCCACGUCGCAGAACUAGGACAAGUUCAGCAAACUUAGUCUUGUCUGUGGUAAGGAGGUGGUGGGAGUGGAAGGUAUGGGGCUUGUAGGAGUAGAACGAGAUGACUUCUCCAGGAGUGCUUAUUCAAUCUUACAUACCACCAUGCACACAUAUAUAGCUCAAGUCUGGUGUUACACUGGAGUUAAUCAGCCCUUCAAACACCACAAAGCACACUGCAUGGGCAGGGUGUGAGGCUGGAUAUGUCUACAACUCAUUCCCCAGUGAACCACACAAAAGCAUUAUCCAAGAUGUUUACGACUUGAGCAGGAAAUGACACAAAUGGAAGAUAAAUAACCAUAAAAACAUUUUCAACUGUACUCAAAGUAGCUGAUCAGCAUGGAAGGCAGUUCUGUGCAUCCAGAACAAGUGACAUUGGAUCACAAAAAUUUCUGUAGUUCACGAGUGAGAAAGUGAAAGACAGAUCUCAUCUCUCCUCAGCAUCCCACACCUGGACCCAAAAAGAACCUCAAGUUUAAGACACAAACACAACACACAGGGACUCUUCUCAAACAGUUUAAUAGCAAAUAAACAAAGGAAGGUACCACACUUGGCAUAUACAAAAUGACUUAUUGUCGGUGUGUCUGUGCAAUUAAAACAGCUUUAAGUUGCCCUUUGGGACAAAAAAAAAACAACACACACACAAAAGGAAGAAAAUUCCUUUAACACAUACUCGCUUGAUCCAAAC
Long non-coding RNA from Gallus gallus (chicken), 9056 nucleotides. RefSeq lists it as uncharacterized. The record is from RefSeq and is a predicted model, not a curated record. NCBI's taxonomy places the organism in Eukaryota, Metazoa, Chordata, Aves, Galliformes, Phasianidae. The transcript is spliced from 2 exons.